AUGACUCAGUCCGACCCUGGUUUCCGUCGCGUCGACAUCCGAAAAUUCGAUCCGGUGCACUUUCGAGUUAUCACAAUGAGAUGAACUCUGAGAUGUCUUCAAAUAGCCGCCGUGAGGGCGGGGGCGAAGCCCCCAACACUACCGCCGCCAGUGAAUCAACCCUUUUGGCCCCAACUUCGACAUACUUCGCCGAUGAGAAGGUCCAAAUCCCGGAAACGGACACGUCCGGUUUCAGUUUCAGGAAAUUAUGGGCUUUCACCGGGCCCGGAUUCCUCAUGUCUAUUGCUUAUCUCGACCCCGGGAACAUCGAAAGUGACCUCCAGAGCGGCACCGUGGCCCAAUAUAAACUCCUAUGGGUGCUGUUGAGUGCCACCAUGCUGGGGCUCCUCAUGCAAAGACUCUCCGCGCGGCUGGGGGUCGUCACGGGGCUGCAUCUCGCUGAAAUGUGUUUCAGGCAAUAUCGAAAAAUCCCGCGCCUCAUUCUUUGGAUUAUGAUCGAAAUUGCGAUCAUUGGGUCUGAUAUGCAGGAAGUGAUCGGGACAGCAAUCGCAAUUUAUUUAUUAUCGAAUAAAACGAUACCACUUUGGAUCGGUGUUUUGAUCACAAUUGUGGACACGGUCACGUUCCUGUUUUUGGACAAGUAUGGCUUGAGGAAGCUGGAGAUGUUUUUCGGGUUUUUGAUCACAAUAAUGGGGAUCACGUUCGGGUUUGAGUACAUAACCUCAAAACCGGAUCAAUUGCAGGUGCUAGAGGGGAUGUUUGUUCCCUGGUGCGAGAACUGCGACUCUAGGGCUUUGCUCCAAGCAGUUGGGAUAGUCGGUGCUGUGAUUAUGCCCCACAAUUUAUAUUUGCACUCAGCCCUCGUAAAAUCGCGCGAAAUCGAUCGAACAAAACCGGAAAAGAUCCGCGACGCAAAUUUAUACUUUUUCGUUGAAGCAACAAUUGCCCUCUUUGUCAGUUUCAUAAUAAAUGUAUUCGUCGUUGCCGUUUUCGCUCAUGGACUUUUCCACAAAACGAACAAAGAAGUUCAUACAUUAUGUACAAAAUACCCAUCAGUAAAUGCGUCGAUUUUUCCCAUUAAUGACGAUUACGUCGAUGCUGAUUUAUACAAAGGGGGGAUUUUUCUGGGUUGCACUUAUGGUCUCGCUGCAAUGUAUAUAUGGGCGGUUGGGAUUCUCGCCGCUGGUCAAAGUUCAACAAUGACGGGGACCUACGCUGGGCAGUUUACCAUGGAAGGGUUUUUGAACCUGCAAUGGGCUCGAUGGAAGAGAGUUUUGUUCACGAGGACCAUUGCGAUUGUGCCGACGUUUUGUCUUGCCUUCUUCAGUCACAUCGAGGAUUUGACUGGGAUGAACGACUUGCUCAACGCCAUCAUGAGCCUCCAACUACCCUUCGCAACAAUCCCAACCAUCGCCUUUACCAGCAAUCCUCAAAUCAUGGGCGAAUUCGUCAAUGGAUGGUUUAACAAAAUCGCUUCAAUUCUACUCAGCGUAUUGGUAAUUGGGAUUAAUACGUAUUUCGUGGUUGAGACAAUGAACGAGUUGCACCUCCAUUGGUAUGCACUUGUUUUCGUCAUCAUAAUCGGGAUUUUCUAUUUGAUUUUUUGCGCUUAUCUCGUAAUCCACAUGGCCAUAAGUAUGGGAAAUACGAAUCUGUUACGCUAUAAUCUAGUCAAGAGAUACAUUAUGGCCCCCAUUGAGUCGCAAUUAUCCGUCAAUCCCAUCAGUUAUUCAAGAGAGCGCUUGAUUGAGACUACUUAAAAUGGAGAAUUGCUGGGGAUGUCUUAAAGAAACGUGAUAAUAUACUAAUCAGUGGUGUUAAGUUUUAAACUGUCACAAUCAGAUUGGACUUUGGACGGUAAUAUGACGGAAGUUCCGAGGUUUUGACGUCAAUUUUAGUUAAUUUGUAGACUUUUGAUAAUGUGUGAUAUUUGUAAUUUGUAACAGUUAUGUUAUGUAACGAAAUAUAUUUUAUUAGGAUUUUUCAAACUUUAAAA
Tribolium madens (black flour beetle) is the source of this 1996-nucleotide RNA transcript. It is a transcript of the gene named protein Malvolio, with no coding region annotated. NCBI's taxonomy places the organism in Eukaryota, Metazoa, Arthropoda, Insecta, Coleoptera, Tenebrionidae. The record is from RefSeq and is a predicted model, not a curated record. The transcript has 8 exons.